Molecule: ribosomal RNA, 492 nt
Filed under: uncultured bacterium
Lineage: Bacteria
Description: partial 16S ribosomal RNA
Rfam family: Bacterial small subunit ribosomal RNA
Source: RNAcentral
AGUGAACGCUGGCGGUAGGCCUAACACAUGCAAGUCGAACGGCAGCACAGUAAGAGCUUGCUCCUACGGGUGGCGAGUGGCGGACGGGUGAGGAAUACAUCGGAAUCUACUUUUUCGUGGGGGAUAACGUAGGGAAACUUACGCUAAUACCGCAUACGACCUACGGGUGAAAGCAGGGGAUCCUCGGACCUUGCGCGAUUGAAUGAGCCGAUGUCGGAUUAGCUAGUUGGCGGGGUAAAGGCCCACCAAGGCGACGAUCCGUAGCUGGUCUGAGAGGAUGAUCAGCCACACUGGAACUGAGACACGGUCCAGACUCCUACGGGAGGCAGCAGUGGGGAAUAUUGGACAAUGGGCGCAAGCCUGAUCCAGCCAUACCGCGUGGGUGAAGAAGGCCUUCGGGUUGUAAAGCCCUUUUGUUGGGAAAGAAAAGCAGCAGGUUAAUACCCCGCUGUUCUGACGGUACCCAAAGAAUAAGCACCGGCUAACUUCGUG